This is a long non-coding RNA of Achroia grisella, 724 nucleotides long. RefSeq lists it as uncharacterized. The record is from RefSeq and is a predicted model, not a curated record. The transcript is spliced from 3 exons. NCBI's taxonomy places the organism in Eukaryota, Metazoa, Arthropoda, Insecta, Lepidoptera, Pyralidae.
CUUAUUUUAUUUACGCAAAUACUACACUUUUGCGAUUUGUGCUCAUACAAUUUUGUAGUUUUUAUUAAGUUAAAAAUAUAGAAGUCGUACAAGUUACUCUGCGUCUUUAAUUUCAUUAUUCCCGAAAAUCCGCUGUGAUUACUCCAGAACAUGGUCCUAUAUCGAAGCCGGAUGUGAAUUAAAUGCGGAUCAGUUAUUAUUUUGUGGAAUUAAAUCGAAAUACAAGAAAUAAAAGAGAAAUUAAUUGGAUGCAAGUUGACCGGCAGAACUACCUACCAUUGGAUGUGAAUCGAGUGUAAUUUAUAGUGGUGUUAAGUAUAAAUUACUAUAUAAUAAACUUAUCCCAACACUCUACAGGUAAUAUUAUAAGUAAAUCAAAAACUUUAUUAAGGUCGACAACACUCGAAUCCCAUAAUGACCGAAGAAAAGGAGUUAAUAAAAAAGCGAGGCAGUUUUAAAGGCCGUUUAACUGCAUUUAUUAAUUAUUUGCAUACACUAACUGAUGAACCGUUAAGUCUCUCGGAUGCCAGAGAAUUACAAUUACGUAUGGGUAAAAUUGAGUCGUUGUAUGAACAGUAUGAUCAGUUCAUGGCAGUCAUCCACAUCAGAAUUCCAAUACAGCAGAAUCACAUAAUCGAAUCUGCCCUAAGUGUAAGGGUGACCAUAGUCUAACCGGUUGCCCCCAGUUUCUUGCGUUGAGCGUUGAAGCGCGCCUAAAGGUACU